Eleginops maclovinus (Patagonian blennie) is the source of this 1737-nucleotide long non-coding RNA. RefSeq lists it as uncharacterized. The record is from RefSeq and is a predicted model, not a curated record. NCBI's taxonomy places the organism in Eukaryota, Metazoa, Chordata, Actinopteri, Perciformes, Eleginopidae. The transcript is spliced from 3 exons.
CGCUGAAGCCGGCUGGGCAGGUACAGGUGUAACUGUUGACGCAGUCGGUACAGUUGGCUCCGUUCUUGCAGGGGUUGCUCUCACACUCGUUGAUAUCCUCCUCGCACUUUGUGCCCCGGAAGCCGGGCUGGCAGGUGCACAGGAAGCCGUUCACCUCGUCCUUACACAGGCCGCCGUUACUACAGGGGUCUGUGGGAGGAGGGAGUAUCAGGUGACCGUGGAUGCAGGGGUUGCUGAGGCACUCGUUGACCUGGGAGAAGCAGGUGGUGUCAUGGUAACCUUCUGGACACAUGCAGGUGAAGCUGUUGAUGCCGUCGAUACAGGUGCCGCCAUUGUGGCAGGGGUUUAUGGCACACUCGUCGAUGUUGAUGUUGCACAUGGUACCUGAGAAAAAGGACAGGAUACGUUACAUUCAUGUAGCAUACUUUGAGUAGAAAACAUACUUAUUAUCACCAGCCUUCCAAGAGGCAAAAUGUUAGAUUAUUAUUAAUUAGAAGAUUCAUAAAACUUUCAAUUCAGUGUGCUGAAUAUGUGGCUAGACCUCAAUAGCCUAGCUUAGCACAAAGACAAAAAAACUAAGGGAAACAGUUAGCCUAUUUUUUUCAAAGGGAAAUGAACACUCAUGAGCACCUAGAGCUCACUAAUCAACACAUUGCUUCUUGAAAAAUGAAAAACGACAAGCUUUUUACAGGGAGAAUAUGUAUGCUAGUACGAAUUCAUUAUGCUAAGCUAAGCUAACUGUCACCAUUCUUUAAUCGUAUAAUUUGAUCUAACUUAUGGCAAGAAUGUAAAUAAACAUAUUUUGUAAAGACAGUAAAGAGAUGGUUUUGAUAUGCUACAAUCAUUUCUGUCAAAAACACAAUUUUGCACUUCAUUUGAGGUACUAUUUGAAAUACACAGAGGCAAGUCACAUAGCAUCACACAAAGCCGCAACACAAUGAAAUCUAUAUCUCAGUGCAGCCAAUGUAUCAAUUUCUAGAAACAUGAGGGGUUUUAAGCCCCCUUUGUCGGCCACUUGAAGCGUUGAUGCCAUUCAGCCUGGUGCCACGUAUAGCAUAAAGGCAGCCCAUUUAGCUUUAAAGCAGGGACCUGCUUCCAAGCUUUUAAAAGCUCAACUUUCAGGGAAUCUUUCUCCUGUUCAAAUCCCAGGUGACUGUGUGUGCCAGAGUGUGUGUGUGUGUGUGUGUGUGUGUGUGUGUGUGUGUGUGUGUGUGUGUGUGUGUGUGUGUGUGUGUGUGUGUGUGUGUGUGUGUGUGUGUGUGUGUGUGUGUGUGUCCUCUUUGUACAGGAGGGCAGCUUGUGUGUCCUAACAGCAGCAGGUUGGGGACAGGGUGGAGCUAAAAAGCGAUACCGGUCGAGCCUCAGAGGAGCGUGCGCACUCGCUCGCCAUCUGUCACCCUUCCCAUCAGGAUGGCCUGCUACUCCGUCCAUAGGUUAAAUCCUAAACCUAAAACACUCCUUUAUCUACUGGUCACCUGAGACAGCAACCAUGUUUAACCGGUCUUAAGUCACCUUUGGUGCCCUUGAGACAGCUGCAGAUGUAGGCGUUCUCCCGGUCCAGGCAAGUGCCUCCGUUCCUGCACGGCUGGCUCAGACACUCGUUGAUGUUGGUCUCACACAGCCGCCCGGUGUAUCCUGGCUUGCAGUGGCAGCUGAAAGAGGCCAGGCCGUCGAUGCAGGUGCCGUAGUGGCACGGGUCCGAGUAACACUCGUUGAUGUCUGUCUCACAGUGCCUCC